Molecule: transfer RNA, 73 nt
Filed under: Saprospiraceae bacterium
Lineage: Bacteria; Pseudomonadati; Bacteroidota; Saprospiria; Saprospirales; Saprospiraceae
Description: tRNA-Arg
Rfam family: tRNA
About the family: Transfer RNA (tRNA) molecules are approximately 80 nucleotides in length. Their secondary structure includes four short double-helical elements and three loops (D, anti-codon, and T loops). Further hydrogen bonds mediate the characteristic L-shaped molecular structure. tRNAs have two regions of fundamental functional importance: the anti-codon, which is responsible for specific mRNA codon recognition, and the 3' end, to which the tRNAs corresponding amino acid is attached (by aminoacyl-tRNA synthetases). tRNAs cope with the degeneracy of the genetic code in two manners: having more than one tRNA (with a specific anti-codon) for a particular amino acid; and 'wobble' base-pairing, i.e. permitting non-standard base-pairing at the 3rd anti-codon position.
Source: RNAcentral
GGUCCCGUAGCUCAGCGGAUAGAGCAACUGCCUUCUAAGCAGUCGGUCCCAGGUUCGAUUCCUGGCGGGAUCA